AUAUAAAAUUAAACAGAUUUCGUAUUUCUUAUUUAAUAGGAAAAGUGACAUAACCUUAUUUUUAUGUUGGCUGGCUUAGUGGAAUUGGAAAUUCCACCUCCUUUAAAUAAAAUAUGGAAGAGGAGAGGGAGCUCCUCUCACUGCGUUUGCUUCGUUGGGUUUCAUGGAACGCAGUCCAAAUAUUCGAUAAAAUGUCACAAUGAGUAGGGAUUCUGCUGUAGGGUUUAAUGGACCUCGUCCAUUCUCUUCCUCCGUUGUUUUUGGCUUGCAAGCUCAUUUUCCUCCAUGUUAGUGCAUUUGGUUCAAUGGGCACGUUUCUUCAGUCUGCAAUGUUCAAAAGUAGGCUACUAUUGUCAAUGUUCGUUGGUGAAGAAGACAAGAAAUAUAGUUAAAAAAAAAUCUCAGUUUACUUGUCAAAAGUCUUAGCUCCUUGUGGACUUUUCUAGCUUAAAAAUAUAACCACAUCCCACAUAAGUUUCAUUUCAAUGAUGAUUACAGAACCAGUAUGGAUUUUCGAAAGUUGUUCCUGCAUUCUUCUCUUCUAGUCCUCCAUUUCGCAUUUUCUUCUUCCAAAGACACCAUAACUAUAAACCAAACCAUUCAUGAUGGUGACUUUCUGAUCUCUAGAGAAAAUAAUUUUGCAUUAGGAUUCUUUAGCCCCGGAAGUUCCAGUUUUAGAUAUCUUGGAAUCUGGUACCAUAAAGUCCGAGAGCAAACUGUGGUGUGGGUAGCCAAUAGGGAUGAUCCAAUCUAUGGUUCGUCGGGAGUUCUAUCAAUUGACCUAUAUGGAAAUCUCGUUCUCCAUGGCUACCAUAACCAGAAAGCUCCUGUGUGGACUACAAAUGUCUCAGUGGAGGUUACAGAUUAUUGUGUAGCUCAGCUCUUGGAUACAGGAAAUUUGGUUUUGUUCCACGAUAGAAGUAAAAGUACUGUGUGGGAAAGCUUUGACCAUCCUACGGAUACUAUGCUGCCAGGAAUGAAACUUGGGUUGAACCGAAGGACAGGCAUGGGCCGGUUCCCGGUAUCUUGGAGAUCAGCAGAUGACCCUGGAACUGGAAACUUCUCACUUCAGAUCAACCCAAAAGGAUCACCACAGGUCUUUAUCUACUGGGGUAUAAAAUAUAUUUGGCGAGGCUUUCCUUGGCCCUUGAAAAGUUAUACAGAUAUAUCCAAUGUUAGUUUUGUCAACAAUCAAAAUGAGACAUAUAUGACCUACUCUGUUUCUGAUGCUUCUGUUAUCCUAAGGGUAAUGUUGGACUAUUCAGGACUAGUUAAGAAUCUAAUUUGGCAUGAAAAAGAUGGCAAAUGGAAUGAAUUCCGGUCGACGCCAAAAUCUCCAUGUGAUCCAUAUGGGCAUUGUGGUACCUAUGGAAUAUGUGAUCCUGAAUUUCUUAGUCGAAGAUUUGAAUGUGAUUGUUUACCUGGGUACGAACCCAAGUUUCUAAGGGACUGGAAUAUUCUGAUGGAUGCUUCUAGUGGAUGUGUUAGGAAGCGGAAAGAAUCAUCUCCAAUGUGCAAGCAUGGAGAAGGGUUUGUGGAAGUAGCAAGUGUUAAGAUUCCUGAUACUUCAGCUGCAGUUUGGUUGGGCUUGAACAUGAGUCCUAUGAACUGUGAACUGGAAUGCAGGAGGAAUUGUUCAUGCUCUGC
RNAcentral lists this unclassified non-coding RNA (1647 nucleotides) under Hevea brasiliensis (rubber tree). Lineage: Eukaryota; Viridiplantae; Streptophyta; Magnoliopsida; Malpighiales; Euphorbiaceae. The record is from RNAcentral.